UACGUAGGUGGCAAGCGUUGUCCGGAAUUAUUGGGCGUAAAGCGCGCGCAGGCGGUCCUUUAAGUCUGAUGUGAAAGCCCACGGCUCAACCGUGGAGGGUCAUUGGAAACUGGGGGACUUGAGUACAGAAGAGAAGAGUGGAAUUCCACGUGUAGCGGUGAAAUGCGUAGAGAUGUGGAGGAACACCAGUGGCGAAGGCGACUCUUUGGGCUGUAACUGACGCUGAGGCGCGAAAGCGUGGGGAGCAAACAGG
This 253-nucleotide ribosomal RNA is filed under the name uncultured bacterium. RNAcentral's name for it is "partial 16S ribosomal RNA". It matches the Rfam family "Bacterial small subunit ribosomal RNA", at positions 524 to 776 of the family's 1533-position model. The record is from RNAcentral.